Molecule: transfer RNA, 82 nt
Filed under: Streptosporangium album
Lineage: Bacteria; Bacillati; Actinomycetota; Actinomycetes; Streptosporangiales; Streptosporangiaceae
Description: tRNA-Tyr
Source: RNAcentral
GGGAGUGAUCUCACCGGAGAAAAGGUCACGGGCUGUAAAACCGUCGGCUCAGCCUACGCAGGUUCAAGUCCUGCACCUGCCA